UACGUAGGAGGCGAGCGUUGUCCGGAAUUACUGGGCGUAAAGAGCGCGUAGGCGGCGCUGUACGACCGCUGUGAAAGCCCCCGGCUCAACUGGGGAGGGUCAGCGGUAACGACAGUGCUACGAGUGCAGGAGAGGGAAGUGGAACUCCGGGAGUAGCGGUGAAAUGCGUAGAUACCCGGAGGAACACCAGUGGCGAAGGCGGCUUCCUGGUCUGCGACUGACGCUGUGGCGCGAAAGCUAGGGGAGCAAACGGG
RNAcentral lists this ribosomal RNA (254 nucleotides) under uncultured bacterium. RNAcentral describes it as "partial 16S ribosomal RNA". It matches the Rfam family "Bacterial small subunit ribosomal RNA", at positions 524 to 776 of the family's 1533-position model. The record is from RNAcentral.